UGCAGUCGAACGAUGAUGCCCACUUGUGGGUGGAUUAGUGGCGAACGGGUGAGUAACACGUGAGUAACCUGCCCUUGACUCUGGGAUAAGCCUGGGAAACUGGGUCUAAUACCGGAUAUGACUGAUCAUCGCAUGGUGGUUGGUGGAAAGCUUUUGCGGUUUUGGAUGGACUCGCGGCCUAUCAGCUUGUUGGUGGGGUAAUGGCCUACCAAGGCGACGACGGGUAGCCGGCCUGAGAGGGUGACCGGCCACACUGGGACUGAGACACGGCCCAGACUCCUACGGGAGGCAGCAGUGGGGAAUAUUGCACAAUGGGCGGAAGCCUGAUGCAGCGACGCCGCGUGAGGGAUGACGGCCUUCGGGUUGUAAACCUCUUUCAGUAGGGAAGAAGCGUAAGUGACGGUACCUGCAGAAGAAGCGCCGGCUAACUACGUGCCAGCAGCCGCGGUAAUACGUAGGGCGCAAGCGUUAUCCGGAAUUAUUGGGCGUAAAGAGCUCGUAGGCGGUUUGUCGCGUCUGCCGUGAAAGUCCGGGCUCAACUCCGGAUCUGCGGUGGGUACGGGCAGACUAGAGUGAUGUAGGGGAGACUGGAAUUCCUGGUGUAGCGGUGAAAUGCGCAGAUAUCAGAGGAACACCGAUGGCGAAAGGCAGGUCUCUGGGCAUUAACUGACGCUGAGGAGCGAAAGCAUGGGGAGCGAACAGGAUUAGAUACCCUGGUAGUCCAUGCCGUAAACGUGGGC
RNAcentral lists this ribosomal RNA (740 nucleotides) under Arthrobacter sp. RNAcentral's name for it is "bacterial SSU rRNA". It matches the Rfam family "Bacterial small subunit ribosomal RNA", at positions 56 to 813 of the family's 1533-position model. The record is from RNAcentral. Lineage: Bacteria; Bacillati; Actinomycetota; Actinomycetes; Micrococcales; Micrococcaceae.